Musca domestica (house fly) is the source of this 1837-nucleotide long non-coding RNA. RefSeq lists it as uncharacterized. The transcript is spliced from 3 exons. The record is from RefSeq and is a predicted model, not a curated record. NCBI's taxonomy places the organism in Eukaryota, Metazoa, Arthropoda, Insecta, Diptera, Muscidae.
CCAAUAUUUUUCGAGUUAUUUUUUUAUAAUUUGUUUUGUGUGCAAUUAGAUUACUUUUGGUUUUAUUCAAUCAAAAAACUACCACUUUUUUAGCCAACAGUGAAUAAAAAAUUCUUUUUCUAUCUAAUAAGCAGCAAUGAACAAUUGGAAGGAAUAAUGCAAUUGCGCUCAAAUUCAUUCAUUAGUGAAAUGGCAACAAAGCAAGGCCAAAAAACAAACUGACAUAAUUUCCCUUUCCUUUUGUUUUGGCGCAAAUAAUUGUGAACACAUUUUAAUGUUAAAUAUAAUUAAUAUGGUUUAGAAAAAUGGAAAUAUUAAAUUUCGGAAAAUAUUAGGCAACGGAUGUGCGAGUUCUGGGCAGUAGCCGGAAUUAAAGAUUUCAAAUGCAACUAUAAGUCAAGACUGCAACCAAAAACAACAGAAAUAUCCAACACAUUUUAUUGUGAACGGCAAAGGAAGUGAAUGCAACAACAGUAUUAAUCCUGUGUUCAAUAUCUCCACACCACUGAAACAACAUAAAAUCGUGGACCAUAUUAGAUUGUCAACUACGAGUCAAGAAAUGCAUGCUCUUUGGCCAUUUAGUACUACCACUUUCUCUUACCAAUGAUACCAGUGGCGUAAUGGCGCAAUAGCCACAGGACCAAAUGCAGCUAAAACUGUUCCAGAUUUUUAAUUUCGUCGUCAUCGGCAGUAGUUCAACAAAAAGAUCGUAGUGCCAAUUCCAAUGGAACAUCAGGCAAACAGAAUGAUUCCAAUAAGAUAAACAAACAAAUUCAAUGUGUUUCCCAAAACUUACCAAUCAAUUUGAAUUCGAUUUAUGAUGCGAAAACCAAUUUAAAAAGGGAAAGAGGAACCUCUUGUCAUAAGGAUGAUAGAGAUAAUAUAGGUAAGGUUAGUUUAUAAAUUUGGCUGAUUAUAGGAACUAUUUAAAUAUUUCGUUAUAGAUUCCAAUGGCUCCCUUCUUUUAGUACCAGUUAUUGAUAGAUUAAAUUUUUUAUUAAUUAUUAGGAGGUACGUUUAAUAGUUUACAUAUUCUUUACUAUUUUUUAUAUUAUUUAUAUAUAGUGAUUGCGUCGCUGGCGGUUAUGCUGCAUGCCUAAAUUUUGCCACAUCCUACGGCUAUCAAACCAUUGCAAAUGGAGUAUAUUCGUCUCAGGCUGGAUUUAAUGAUUUAAGACGUCUACUGCUUAGAGGAAGCUAUAUAGCGCACAAUUUGGCAAAAACUCGUCGCAAUCGUCCAUGUUUUAAGAAAAGACGAUGGCCCUUGUGGUCGUUUGAAAUAAGAUAUGAAUAUGUCCCAGAAUUACUUAAUGAUGAUAGGGAUCUUAUGGCUAGUUCGCUUAAAGGUAAGUAAAAAGGAGUUAUGUAUUUGUUUUGCAUGAAAAUAUAAUGGGUAUUUCUGAAAGUAAUUUUAGAACAGGUUAGUAGUUGAAUUGAAGGAUAGCAGAACAUUUCCCAUUGACAUCUAAAAUCAAAGCCCUAUACAAAUUGCAGAGAAAUUUAGCACAAAAUAAUAUAAAGAACCUGGUUCUAGUAAGAAUUCGUAAAAAUUAUUCAAAUUCGGUAGAUUCGAAAAUUCAGGUUACUUAUUUAACUCGACCUAGUAUAUAUCUUACCAAAACAUGUUUUAAGCAUUCAAUGCUUUAUAAUUUUGUAUGUAUAUAUUUUUGAUGAAAUUCAUUCGAUAUUUUGUGCAUUAUUUGCAGUGUGAUUUACGUUUUUUUUUUCUUUACAAAAAUUCAUAUAUAAGUACAUUAACAUAUAUUGAAUAUACAUAUAUGUAUAUAUGUGUAUGUAUAUAUCUAUAGAUAUAUUUUAAAUAACAUUUUAUCACAAU